GGUCCGGUUCCGGAGCUGACAUGAUCGAAGUAGUGGCAGAGCUGAGCCGGGGUCCUGUGUUCCUGGCGGGGGAGGCGCUGGAGUGUGUGGUGACGGUCACCAACCCGCUGCUCCCCACGGCCACCUCGGCAUCCAGUGAGGCUCUGGCCUGGGCCAGUGCACAGAUCCACUGCCAGUUCCAUGCCAGUGAGAGUCGAGUCGCACUGCCUCCCCCAGACUCCAACCAGCCAGAUGUUCAGCCUGAGAGCCAGACUGUCUUUCUACCACACCGAGGUGAGAGGGGUCAGUGUAUCCUUUCUACUCCACCAAAAAUCCUAUUCUGUGACCUGAGGCUAGAACCUGGGGAGUCCAAAUCAUACUCCUACAGCGAAGUGCUGCCCAUAGAGGGACCACCCUCCUUCCGAGGUCAGUCAGUUAAGUAUGUCUACAAAUUGACCAUUGGCUGCCAGCGUGUCAACUCACCCAUCACACUACUCAGGGUCCCUCUGAGGGUUCUUGUGCUGACUGGCCUUCAGGAUGUCCGGUUUCCCCAGGAUGAGGCUGUAGCCCCAUCCAGUCCAUUCUUGGAGGAGGAUGAAGGGGGGAAGAAGGAUUCAUGGCUAGCUGAGCUGGCUGGGGAGCGCCUCAUGGCUGCCACAUCCUGCCGCAGCCUCCAUCUAUACAAUAUCAGUGAUGGCCGAGGAAAAGUUGGGACAUUUGGCAUCUUCAAAUCUGUAUACAGACUUGGCGAGGACGUGGUGGGAACCUUAAACUUAGGGGAAGGAACUGUAGCUUGUUUGCAGUUUUCAGUAAGUUUGCAGACCGAGGAGCGUGUACAGCCAGAGUACCAGCGGCGCCGCGGGGCAGGGGGUGCCCCUUCUGUGUCCCAUGUGACUCAUGCCCGACACCAGGAGUCCUGCCUCCAUACAACCAGAACCAGCUUCUCCCUCCCCAUCCCUCUCAGCUCCACCCCAGGCUUCUGCACUGCCAUUGUGUCCCUGAAGUGGCGAUUGCAUUUUGAAUUUGUAACAUCCCGAGAACCAGGUUUGGUGCUCCUACCUCCUAUGGAACAGCCCGAGCCUGUCACCUGGACAGGGCCUGAGCAGGUGCCUGUAGACACCUUCAGCUGGGACCUCCCCAUCAAGGUGCUGCCCACAAGCCCGACCCUGGCCUCAUAUGCAGCCCCAGGCCCCAGUACCAGCACCAUAACCAUCUGAAACUGGCCCACCACAGCACUACUUUCUUCAGGAUCCUGAGAACUCGGCACCUGGACUCUAACUGGAGAAGGCUGAGAGGGGAGAGUCAUUCCUGUGAAGAUGAAGAGACUUCAUGAAAGAGGCUGUGUUUCAGGAGCUGAGAGAGACUUGUAAGGCUGUGAUGAAUGGUAGUUGGGUGGGAGGGAGGGCCCAGAGUUUCAAGAACAUACAAUUGCUAUACCCAAACAGCCCAGUGUUCUCUCUGGCAGAGAAUAUAAAAGAUGAUAUGGUUGUAGUCUGGAUUUCAACUAUAGUUAAGUUUCUAUUAAUAACCCAUAUUGAAGUUUUCCUACCCCACCUCUGGAACCAUUCUCACCAAUUUUUUUUUUUUUCCUGCUUGCACUCAUAAUUAACCACCCUCUAAUUUAACUGAAUUCCCUAUUUGCUUUUAUUUUUCCUGCCUGCUCCACAAUCUGCUUAUUGCAGUAGUGACUUUUAAAAUUCCAUUUAUGAGACUCUCGCUUUUAUCUCAUUGAUAAAUUGCUCUUUUCUUAAAAUUAUAGACUCAAACUAAAUAGGCAAAAUGCAUCUAGUUCUCAUCGCUGGAAGGUGACCGAGUAGGUUUUGCUUGAUUGUCUCUACCGAAAGGAGUGCGUUACUUCCUCCUGCAGUGGGGGCUGCCAGUUCUACUAUCUAGCUUUAGUUAUCUCAUAUUUUCCCUUAGUUUUGCUUUUUGAAACAGUAUGGAAGAAAUUUUUCUUUUCAGUGUGGCAGCUCUUUAAAGAUUUGAAAGGGGUUUGUAUUUUGUCUGUGUAUUUUUCUCCUCCGGCAUGUCCAGUAGAAUUUUCUGCACUGAUGGAAAUGUCCCCUGCCUGUCCUGUCUAAUGAUUAGCCACCAGCCCCUUGGAAAUGUGGCUAGCGUGAUGUGACUACGAAACAGAAUUCUAAUUUUACUUAAUUUUAGUUAUUUAAGUUUAAAUAGCCAGAUGAGGUGAGUGACUCUUGUGUUAGCGAGCUCUAAAAACUCUGGAACUUAGUACUUCAUCACUGGCUGUCUUUUGGCUGUUCCAAAAAAAUCUUAUGGUCACCUCAAACACAGGAAAACACGCGAAACUGGGCUCUUGUCUGUUUGGAGGCCAGUCUUACACGUUGGCACAACCUAGAAAAAAACACAAACCUAACCUCUAGAGUCCUGAUAGUGUCAGUUUUUUUAUUUCUUUAUUGAUUAAACUAUUACAUAUGUGUCCUUAUCUCCCCAUUACCUUUUUUUCACCCCCCUGUUGUCUGUGUCCAUUGGUUAGGCUUAUAUUGAUAGUGUCAGUUUUUAUUGAAGCUUUCUUAGGAGGGGUAAAAGAUGAAGGUUUCCUGUCAUCUUCCAUAACUCAAAGCAAAACUUAAAAAAUUCCUUAUUCAAUCUCUCUCUUUCCCUAAGGGAAAGAGCCCCUGAAGUUCCUCUCCAUAAUGCCUGCCAAAUCCCUCCCUUCUCUUUUCUCUCACAAACGACUUUCCUCCUCUUUGAACCUUACUCCUCCAUUCUCUGUGAGCACCACGUCUGCCCUCUUCCCUUUCGAGGAGAGCUCUUAGGUGUGUCUCCAGCUCCUCUUCCCUUUUAUGAUCUCUGCUCAGUAAAUCCAGGGAACUUCUGGACUCGUCUUUCUUGGGGGUGAUUGUGGCUAGGAGGUCAUAAGUAACUUCUUUUCCUUUCUCACAUAACUCUUGAUCUCCUUCUAGAAGCCCUCUCAUUUUCUUUUCUUGUCAUUGCUGAACAGUCUUCAGCAUUCUUUUUGCAGAAGUUUCUCUAACAUCUUUUCAUUCCAGAUCUAUGCUUAACAGAUCCUAAAGCUACUUCUUCACAAUUCCUUUAUCCAUUUGUCUUUUAAAAUUAUUUUGCUUAUAUAUUAUUUGUAAUAAGCUUAUCACCUCUUCACCAGCCUUCUACAUUGCAUAGGCUGCCUCCGCCGGGGGAGCAGCAUUCAUUUCCCACUGCUGUCCCCAGUGCCCUUCGUCCCUGACUCCCUUCCCUGCUCACCAUUGUUGUCCACGCAUCCCUCCCAGUAUUGUCUGUUCUUCUCAUCUCCUCCUUGUCCAUAUUUAUAAUAACGUUCACUAUUUUUAAAAGAUCAUUUUUGGGUUCUCAUUUUUUCCAGGGGCUCUCCCCUAAGUCUCUGUCCUGUGACAUAAAACUGCAUGCAGCAUUGAUCUCUGUGGGUUGGGGGAGAUGGGGUUGAGGGGCAGAAUAUCCUCUCAACCAUGGCGCUAAUGUGGGCUGGAUAUUCUUCUGUCGGGCGGGGAGACUAUCCUGUGCACUGCGGGAUGUUUAGCAGCACCCCAGCCUCUACCCUCUAGACAUCAGAGGUACCCUCUCCAUUGUGACAACCCAAAAUACCUCCAGACAUUGCCAGAUGUGCCCUGGAGGGCAACAUUUCCCCACCCUCUCCUCUUGUUGAGAACUGCUGUUCUAGAAUAUCACCUUUCUGAAGUUGAUAGAUGGUUAUACUUUUUCUUCCCAAUUUGUGAUUUGUUUGCUUAGCCUAGAUUUUUAAAAGUGUGGUUUUUGUCUUACUUGGUAGGAGGGAGCCUCUUAAAAUUGCAGGUUCCCGAUCUCAUCCGAGGCCUACUGAAUCAGAAAUUCUGGAAGUGGAAUUUGGAAAUAAAAUUUUUACAAGGCAGUACCCCCAACCCCUUCCCAAACAGGUAAUUCUUAUGCCCUGGGCUUGACCUUCCUGUGGUAUAACUGCUGCAUUACCCACAUUUUUUUCCUGCAGGUCUUCCUGGUUGCUCCAGCUUUGCUUCCGCUCUUGGCCUCAUGAUGCCAACACAAAUAGGGAGGCCUCAGGUUACCCGGACAACUGGAGCACAGGAAACCGUAAAGGCGCAGCCCUCCCACAAGGAAUCAGACUGUGGCCAUGCCCGCUUGCUUUCACCGAAGGGACUCAGUCAUACUUCCUACUCCCCGUUCUCCAACUACCCAGUAUAGCAGAUACCCAGGCCCAAGUCACAGACCCUGGUUUUUCAGACCUGGUAGUGGAAUAUGGAAUGAAUGGGAUGAAGAAAGGUGAAUGAACCUUUUUCACAUUGAUAGUCCAUGUUACCUUGGUGAUAAUUGAGUUUUGUACUGGUGAGAAUUAGAUUCCCCUGAAAGUUGAUAAGAUUAUGAGCUGUAGAGUCACAGUUGCUUCAUUGGACCUUGAGUCUUGGAUCUCUUUGCAUUCCUGGCUAGAUGUUUUUACAAUUGGCUUUGGGUCAAAGAUUUAGCAAUCUACUUCUGAUACACUGGGAGCAGUGUAUGUUUAGCAAGAAAAGAAUAGUCAACGUAUUAUGAAUUUGGGUUCUAUUUACAUUUCAUUACGAAACUAGACAUUUAAAGGAAGAGUAUCUGUUUUGAUUAAGUAUUUAAGCAUUUGUACAUCAUAAGCAUCUAUAGAAACAAGCAGCAGAGCUUUUUUAAAUUCAAUUCAAAAUACUGUGGCAGUUAACUGGUUAAACCCACAAGUAAAUGAAAAUCUACUUGCAUUUAGAUGCUUAGAAACUGUUGAAUUGAUCCAAAACCAGAGUAGGCCACCUCCGUGGACCAUGCAUGGCAGGUCAGAGCGAGAGAGAAUCAAGGCAGACUUGAUAGCCCUUUUCCAACAGUGGAAAGACUGUCCUGGGGAAGGGUUAGAAUGGUUCCAGAGGUGGAAUGCAGACCUUUAUUUCAGAUAGCAGUGAUGGGGCACAGACUUUGGCUUAAUAAGGAAGAACAUUUAAGUAGUUAGAGGACCUCAAAUUGGAAUGAGCUGACAUUAGGCAAUGAAUUACUUGUGACUGAAUUGUUUAUAUGGAGGUUAGAUGAUCAUUGCACAAGGUUUGGAUGAGAUUUUGGACAUUAAUUUGAGUUUGGCCUAUAAAGGGAAGCAGGCAAAUUUAUUGGAAGUCAGUUCACCCUUUCUAUUACAUGAUUUUGUGGCAGCUAUUAACGUCAUUACUAUUUUCCUGGGUACCUCUCUUUGCUAAUUUUACCCCUUGAGUCAUUGAAUAUUAGAGCUGAUAGUAGAGUCUUUAGAGAUUUAUCAAAUGUUGUUCUCUAGUCCUCUGGCGAUUCCUCAAGAAUGCCUCAAGGGUGGCUGAGAGGUGAAAUUAAGGAUAGCUGGCACUAUUAGCCUGUUAGCCAUGCUUCUGUGAGAACAAUCUUGCCUUUAAAAUUUUUUUCCAGAAAAAAAAAGAGUUCUGAAAAAUACUCUUAGAGGCCCCAGUAUUCCAAGUUCUUCAUUUUAUUGACAGGAAAACUGAGAUAUGGAGCAGAGAAGUGCCUUGCCAAAAGGUCACAUAGCUAAUAAAUUUCACAGUUGGAAUUCAAAUCUAGCUCUUCUAAUUCCAGUCAUUUGUGUUUUUUCCCCCCUCUACUAGUCUACCUUCUUAUAAUUCAGUAAAAGUUUCUCUCCAUUUCACUGGCCACAACAAUAGUCCAGAAUUUUAUUUCUUCAGCUUUACUAUUUCCUAUUCGUCACUGAGCUGGUCUCCCUGUUAUCCAAUCUCUCCUUCUUCUGGUCUAUAUCAUAUACACUGUUGCCAUGUUAUUCUUCAUGAAACAUGGUCUUCAUCAUGAGAUUUCCCUGCUUAAGAACCUUCUCUGUAUUGCUGAAAGGAACUUUUCAGCCUGACACAUUGUUAACAUUCUUUAGGAUCUUCAUUGUUCAGCUAAGCUGAGCCCAAGUCCAUCCUAUUAUGGGUAAUUAAUGGGCCAUAUAAUAGUGAGAUUAAUUGAGCCCCACCCUACCUCUAGACUCCAACUUUGGCAGAAUUUUUAUGUGUACAGUUUUAAUUAGGGAUAACGAGAAGAUACAAAAGAAAUAGAAGACUGGAAAAAAAAUAGAUUUCAUAAAAAGAAGUUGCAUAACAAUGUUUUAUAUAAUCCUAUUUGUAGUACACAUACAUACAUAAAAAAACACACAAAAAUGAGGUGUAUAGAAAUUGGAAGAAAACACACCAAAUUGAUAAGAGACCUUAACUUUGAUGAGGUGGAUUGAGAAAGGAAAGGGGAUGGGGAGGAAUAAAAAAUAUAUUUUAAAAA
This is an RNA transcript of Myotis brandtii (Brandt's bat), 6225 nucleotides long. It is a transcript of the gene named RGP1 homolog, RAB6A GEF complex partner 1, with no coding region annotated. The transcript is spliced from 9 exons. NCBI's taxonomy places the organism in Eukaryota, Metazoa, Chordata, Mammalia, Chiroptera, Vespertilionidae. The record is from RefSeq and is a predicted model, not a curated record.